AGAGUUUGAUCAUGGCUCAGGAUGAACGUUGGCGGCGUGCCUAACACAUGCAAGUCGAACGAUCCCUCGGGAUAGUGGCGCACGGGUGAGUAACACGUAGCUUAUCUUCCCCGAAGUGCGGGAUAACUCCUCGAAAGAGGUGCUAAUACCGCAUAAGCUCACGGACUGUAGAGGUCUGUGAGAAAAGGUUUACUGCUUCGGGAUGAGGCUGCGGCCCAUCAGCUAGUUGGCGCGGUAACGGCGCACCAAGGCGACGACGGGUAGGGGACCUGAGAGGGUGACCCCCCACACUGGGACUGAGACACGGCCCAGACUCCUACGGGAGGCAGCAGUGAGGAAUAUUGCACAAUGGGGGCAACCCUGAUGCAGCGACGCCGCGUGAGUGAAGAAGGCCUUCGGGUCGUAAAGCUCUUUUCUGCGUGACGAGUAAGGACGGUAGCGCAGGAAUAAGUCUCGGCUAACUACGUGCCAGCAGCCGCGGUAAAACGUAGGAGACAAACGUUAUCCGGAGUUACUGGGCGUAAAGGGCGUGCAGGCGGUUGAUUAAGUCUGACGUGAAAGCUCCCGGCUAAACCGGGAGAGGUCGUUGGAGACUGAUUGACUAGAGGACGGUAGAGGCGAGUGGAAUUCCGGGUGUAGUGGUGAAAUGCGUAGAGAUCCGGAGGAACACCAGUGGCGAAGGCGACUCGCUGGGCCGUACCUGACGCUAAGACGCGACAGCAUGGGGGAGCGAACGGGAUUAGAAACCCCGGUAGUCCAUGCCGUAAACGAUGCCAGCUCGGUGUUCGUUCUCCGCAAGGGGGGCGGGUACCCAAGCAAACGCGGUAAGCUGGCCGCCUGGGGAGUACGGUCGCAAGGCUAAACUCAAGGAAUUGACGGGGGCCCGCACUAGCACCGAGCGUUGUGUUUA
Molecule: ribosomal RNA, 910 nt
Filed under: uncultured bacterium
Lineage: Bacteria
Description: bacterial SSU rRNA
Rfam family: Bacterial small subunit ribosomal RNA
Source: RNAcentral